GCAGCGGGGCUGAUGUGUAAAGCAGAACGCCCCGACGGGCGGGGCGUUCUGGCUGCUGCGCGGGUGAAUCAGAGGGCCGCGAGACCCGCCUGCUGCACCA
Molecule: transfer RNA, 100 nt
Filed under: Stutzerimonas balearica
Lineage: Bacteria; Pseudomonadati; Pseudomonadota; Gammaproteobacteria; Pseudomonadales; Pseudomonadaceae
Also listed under: 1 other name
Description: tRNA-Arg
Source: RNAcentral